Molecule: non-coding RNA, 106 nt
Organism: Rattus norvegicus (Norway rat)
Lineage: Eukaryota; Metazoa; Chordata; Mammalia; Rodentia; Muridae
Source: Rfam
CCCUCCCUUCUCCACGCCCCCCCAACCCCCCCCCCCCGUCAAGUCUUUGGCAUCAUUAUCCUCAUCACUAAAUCCUGCAGAGUACUGGGCGGAAAACGGUGCACAC